Molecule: ribosomal RNA, 492 nt
Filed under: uncultured bacterium
Lineage: Bacteria
Description: partial 16S ribosomal RNA
Rfam family: Bacterial small subunit ribosomal RNA
Source: RNAcentral
AGUGAACGCUGGCGGUAGGCCUAACACAUGCAAGUCGAACGGCAGCACAGUAAGAGCUUGCUCUUACGGGUGGCGAGUGGCGGACGGGUGAGUAAUACAUCGGAAUCUACUUUUUCGAGGGGGAUAACGUAGGGAAACUUACGCUAAUACCGCAUACGACCUAAGGGUGAAAGCAGGGGAUCUUCGGACCUUGCGCGAUUGCAUGAGCCGAUGUCGGAUUAGCUAGUUGGCGGGGUAAAGGCCCACCAAGGCGACGAUCCGUAGCUGGUCUGAGAGGAUGAUCAGCCACACUGGAACUGAGACACGGUCCAGACUCCUACGGGAGGCAGCAGUGGGGAAUAUUGGACAAUGGGCGCAAGCCUGAUCCAGCCAUACCGCGUGGGUGAAGAAGGCCUUCGGGUUGUAAAGCCCUUUUGUUUGGAAAGAAAAGCAGCAUGUUAAUACCCCGCUGUUCUGACGGUACCCAAAGAAUAAGCACCGGCUAACUUCGUG